RNAcentral lists this ribosomal RNA (521 nucleotides) under uncultured Glomus. RNAcentral's name for it is "SSU rRNA". It matches the Rfam family "Eukaryotic small subunit ribosomal RNA", at positions 569 to 1092 of the family's 1831-position model. Lineage: Eukaryota; Fungi; Glomeromycota; Glomeromycetes; Glomerales; Glomeraceae. The record is from RNAcentral.
AGCAGCCGCGGUAAUUCCAGCUCCAAUAGCGUAUAUUAAAGUUGUUGCAGUUAAAAAGCUCGUAGUUGAAUUUCGGGGUCAAUACGUCGGUCGUGCUUCGGUACGUACUGGCGUAAUUGAUUUCUCCCUUCUGACGAACCAUGAUGUCAUUAACUUGGUGUCAUGGGAAAUCAGGACUGUUACUUUGAAAAAAUUAGAGUGUUUAAAGCAGGCUCACGCUUGAAUACAUUAGCAUGGAAUAAUGAAAUAGGACGUUCGAUCCUAUUUUGUUGGUUUUUAGGAUCAACGUAAUGAUUAAUAGGGAUAGUUGGGGGCAUUAGUAUUCAAUUGUCAGAGGUGAAAUUCUUGGAUUUAUUGAAGACUAACUACUGCGAAAGCAUUUGCCAAGGAUGUUUUCAUUAAUCAAGAACGAAAGUUAGGGGAUCGAAGACGAUCAGAUACCGUCGUAGUCUUAACCAUAAACUAUGCCGACUAGGGAUCGGAUGAUGUUAAUUUUUUAAUGACUCAUUCGGCGCCUUACG